GCUCGGCCCGCUCUCUCUCUGACCACUCAUUGCCUGAAGAUCCUUUCCAACUCACUGUGUCCUGGUACUGGAGAUGGGACUCUCCCCUGGUAGCUCUAUUUCUGUGGGCACUGUCACCAUCUAGUGGCACUCUGCUCCUGGCUCACAGGUACAGCAGCCUCACUGAGCUCUCCCCCAUCAUCAUUCAUUUCUCCCAGGUAUUAGUACCAGCUUUUACCAAUUAGCACGUUAAAAGCUGGCAUGGGUGGGUGCAGCCUUAUCAAUCCAUGUUUCCCUGUGGCCCUGCUAGGAUGUAGCUGCAGGAGGAAGGCCCCUCUGGCACAUCAACUGUUUUUGUCUUUUAACCAUACGAGGAAACAAACUGUUUAGUGAAUGAAGCCAGAUGCAUGAGGUUGUGCUGAAGGACCUACAGCCCCUUUGUAAAGAGCUCCAACAGGAAACCUUGGAAGAGGCACGUAAAAACAUUUGUGGAAUUUAUUCUUGGCAAUUAAAGGAUGGUGGCCUGGAGCAGGGCUGGGGACAUUCACUGGGCUUUUAUUGACAGAAUGGGAAGACCUAGCGACACCAGAGAAGCAGCUGUGAGAAGAGCGUGCCUUCAGAUGCUGGCAAGAGCAGAUACAAGGUAAUUCUUGAAAUAAGACAGGCUAACACACAAGCUUGCACAACCACCAGUUUCAGCUUGGACACUGCCCAGGUCAAUGGGAUUCUCUCCAUUCAUUAGUCAGCAUAGCCUGACUGCCAUGCCCUGCGCCCUCAGUGUGUGUUGCAACACGUUGUUCCAUGAAAUAAGCAAGUUAAAGCUUCCUGUGAGCUGCUGAAGCUCAGCUAUGCUGAAAUAUAAAGUGUCCUGUUAAAACUGGAUUGGGUCAGAAGAUACAUGAGCAUGGCUCAAGUGUCCUCCAGUUUCUUUGAUACCCAUUGUAGCAAUACUGACCUGAUAUACACCUCAUUGUAAUCUGGGUGUCUUUGGAAAAGAAAAAAAGUUUAAUAUCCAAAGUGAAUUAUUAACUCUUCCCUCAGUCUUAUUUUGACCUCUGUGUAACCAGUGGCGGUAUCAGGGCAUGCUGUGGCUCUUGUUGGCCAAGGCAUGGUGCCACCAGCGUGGCCCAUGGCUGUGGGCAGGAGUGGUGACAGCUGGGACACGGGCAGGGCUGGGUCAGCACGGCUGAUGCCAUUCUCAUGACACACCAGGACCAGUGCAAUAAAUGGGAGAGCCAGAACUUUCCA
Molecule: long non-coding RNA, 1227 nt
Filed under: Coturnix japonica (Japanese quail)
Lineage: Eukaryota; Metazoa; Chordata; Aves; Galliformes; Phasianidae
Description: lncRNA (ENSCJPG00005005128.1)
Source: RNAcentral